This is a non-coding RNA of Cyanistes caeruleus (blue tit), 1699 nucleotides long. The record is from RefSeq and is a predicted model, not a curated record. NCBI's taxonomy places the organism in Eukaryota, Metazoa, Chordata, Aves, Passeriformes, Paridae.
CAAAUCACAGAAUCUGGCUUUAGUUUGAAGAUUUUUCAAAUCUAGGUAUUAUUUUUUUCCUUUGCAGCUCUCAGUUCUAAAAGCUUUUUGGCCACCCUCUCAGCCACACCAUUAGUGAAAUCAGAGAAGAGUUUCACGGAGUCUUACAAGGCCUGUAGGGAAAAACAGGUUGGCGAACUGCACAAAUCACCAAGACAGUCCAACAGUUCACAAGUAUCAAAAAGCCAACACACUUCAUCUGCCUGUAAGGGACUUAAUGAGCAAGGCAGAGAAUAAGCAGCUUGCAGAUGCAGCUGGUAUGACAGGAGGAAAAAACAGACAGGUAGCUCAAAUGCUUGUGGAAAGAACUAAGUACCAGCAACACAAGUAUGUGGAACCUCUGCAUCACCUAUUCCAACAGUCAGUCUUCAUUUUCCACUAUUUUUUGUCCACAUUUUUCACACUGUAAGAGCUCUUGUUUACAUGUAAAUGGGGUAAAACUUCCAAGGAUGACAACAGUGUUGAACAAAGCUCCAAAUUUUGUGCAGCCUUCCUGUUAGACACUUCUUGUCAAUUACUUUGUUAAUGAGUUAUCUAAUAAUCCAUGCCCUGUGAGACCUCAGCUACAACAAAACCAGCAAUUUCAGAAGCUUUAAAAAAGGAAGAUACCAAAUACCACUUCUGUUGAUUUCAGAAAGUUUAUUGCACCAAAUGCCGCAAAGAAAUUGACCAAAAUGAUAGCGUACAUAAACAACUAUAAGAAAAAACCAUGUAGUUUGACAUUGGUAUUCAGUCAUUCCUAAAAAAGCCUAUGUUCUCCAAACAUGCAAUAGCAACACACAUUUUUCUACUAUGAAAAAACUUGCCAUGAAUGUCAAAUUACCUCAUUUGACCUCAACACCCCCCUCCCCCUCCCCCAAAAAAAUUAAAAAAAAAAAAAAAAGAAAAAAUAAAGGAAAAUGUCUAGACUAUAUUCAGUAGUUCAGACCUGAUUUUUAUUUGGGUCCUUUUAACUGAAAUAGAAGUUAUACUUGAAGGGUAAGUGAUCAUUUCAUGUAAACCUUAUAUACAGGAGUUUGAUGCAUCUGAAAAGAGGUUUUGAAUUUACAAGUAAAGAUGCUUAUAAUACAAAGUGGGGAAAAAUCCAUCUAUAAUUCUGGAGGAUGACAUCAGAAAUGUGAAUUACAGGAUCAGUGUCUGUUAGUUUUUUGGGGGCAAAAGCAAGUUCUAUAAAUUAGUUCAGAGCGUACCAACUUAAAUGAAAAUGCUUAAAUCUUGGUAUUGUUUGGGAUUAAAGAAGUAAUUUCAAUUAGAUUUUAUAAUUUAGCAAUUCAUUCCUCCCCUACGUUUAGUCUUGCCUGAAAAUAGCAUACAUUCUUUAAAUUUCAGUGUGUAAACUGCAUUUAUGUGGGAUUUUGGACAGACUGUGCACUCCCACCUAACCAAGAAAGUAUGUAUUUAAGUUUACAAAAAACCUACAUAAUACUGAUAAAAACAACUUUGGAAUAUUUGAAAAUUAAGCUACAUUAUCAAUUUUCAACACAGCUGUACAUUCAUAUCACUUUUCAUCCUAUUAAAAUAAAACAAGAAACAUGCCCUAAAAAUGUCUAAAAAAUACAUCUGUAAAUACUUACUGCCCUGUCAUGCCACACCAAUUUACAUAAACAUCAAGAUGCUACUGAAAACAAGUUAAAGACUUAGAGUCAAAAGAAAAAAAAAA